RNAcentral lists this ribosomal RNA (501 nucleotides) under uncultured bacterium. Its description in RNAcentral is "SSU rRNA". It matches the Rfam family "Bacterial small subunit ribosomal RNA", at positions 26 to 518 of the family's 1533-position model. The record is from RNAcentral.
AGGACGAACGCUGGCGGCGCGCUUAACACAUGCAAGUCGAGCGAGAACCCACCUUCGGGUGGGGGAAAGCGGCGAACGGGUGAGUAACACGUGGGCAACCCACCCUUGGUAUCGGGAUAGCCCGGGGAAACCCGGAUUAAUACCGGAUGGCCCAGCAGCUCUUCGGGGCGGCUGGAAAAGGUAGCUUCGGCCUCCGACCAAGGACGGGCCCGCGGCGGAUUAGCUUGUUGGUGGGGUAAUGGCCUACCAAGGCGACGAUCCGUAGCUGGUCUGAGAGGACGAUCAGCCACACUGGGACUGAGACACGGCCCAGACUCCUACGGGAGGCAGCAGUGGGGAAUCUUGCGCAAUGGGCGAAAGCCUGACGCAGCGACGCCGCGUGGGGAAGAGGCUUUCGGGUUGUAAACCCCUUUCAGGUGGGACGAAGCCACUCGGGUUAAUAGCCCAGAGGGUGACGGUACCGCCAGAAGAAGCCCCGGCUAACUACGUGCCAGCAGCCGC